AGUGAACGCUGGCGGUAGGCCUAACACAUGCAAGUCGAACGGCAGCACAGUAAGAGCUUGCUCGUACGGGUGGCGAGUGGCGGACGGGUGAGGAAUACAUCGGAAUCUACUUUUUCGUGGGGGAUAACGUAGGGAAACUUACGCUAAUACCGCAUACGACCUACGGGUGAAAGCAUGGGAUCUUCGGACCUUGCGCGAUUGAAUGAGCCGAUGUCGGAUUAGCUAGUUGGGGGGGUAAAGGCCCACCAAGGCGACGAUCCGUAGCUGGUCUGAGAGGAUGAUCAGCCACACUGGAACUGAGACACGGUCCAGACUCCUACGGGAGGCAGCAGUGGGGAAUAUUGGACAAUGGGCGCAAGCCUGAUCCAGCCAUACCGCGUGGGUGAAGAAGGCCUUCGGGUUGUAAAGCCCUUUUGUUGGGAAAGAAAAGCAGCAGGUUAAUACCCCGCUGUUCUGACGGUACCCAAAGAAUAAGCACCGGCUAACUUCGUG
This 492-nucleotide ribosomal RNA is filed under the name uncultured bacterium. RNAcentral's name for it is "partial 16S ribosomal RNA". It matches the Rfam family "Bacterial small subunit ribosomal RNA", at positions 29 to 507 of the family's 1533-position model. The record is from RNAcentral.